Molecule: long non-coding RNA, 3794 nt
Organism: Sitodiplosis mosellana (orange wheat blossom midge)
Lineage: Eukaryota; Metazoa; Arthropoda; Insecta; Diptera; Cecidomyiidae
Exons: 2
Source: RefSeq, a predicted model, not a curated record
AGUUUUUAGAAUACAAUAUAUUCACAGGAUUCAACUUUUAAAUGACUUACUUUCAUAUAAAAUAUUGAGUAGCAUUCACAGUACUCAGCUGAUGGUAAGGCCAAAGCUACAUUCUGCGAAAUUUGUUUAUUCAACCAGAUCCAAUAAGAUCUGGAAGUGAAAAUCUCCAGUACUGUUUGUGUUCGUGAAGCUUUUGAUUUUCUUGUUCGUCAAGCUGACGACAUCUUAGUACAAAUUGAAUUUUGAGUACUAGUGGCGCAACGAUUGCCGUAUUAUUUUGUUUUGAAAUUUCGAUAGUUCACGAGUUAGAUAGACCGAAUCCGACUGAAAAAGUGUGUUUUAAGUUUCCCCUCUUUUCAUUUUUUUGGGUUUUAAGAGAUGCACUAUCGAAGGCGCAUUUUCAUGUUGAAAUCGGCAUCUGACACCCUCACCAUACUCUGCUGGUAUAUUUUUCCCCUUUUGCAUUUGAUGACAUGAUUAUUUUCGUUCUGUUUUAUGCUUGUGGGUUUAUUGUGACCCACAACUUGUGAGCUACUCAAGCUUAUAUACCAACAAAAUACACACAUUAAAGCACUUUCCGGAGCACACAAAACAUAAAACGCACGAAUGUAAUAAAGCAGUUUAUGUAAAUAGCUCUGAAAUAGUUUGCUAGAACCACGUCAAUGAUCAUUUAAUAUUGAAGAUAAUACUUUUGGUUAGUUUCAGCAUCGUUCCAAUAUUUUUUCUUGUUAAAAAACAAUUACAGUUUUUGAUGUAUGUUUUUUUACCACUUGACACACAACAUCGAUGAACCACUGUUUGUAUCGGAUUCAAUGAAUGAUUGAACUCUUUAGUGAACUAAGAAACCAAUUCCAAUUUGAGAAAAAUGUUUGAACUGAAGUUAGAAUUGAAAAAAUGUGUCUUCAUAUUUGCUCCGUAGAUUCUAUAGACGCGAUGUCUUCGAAGCUAAAGAGGGGAAACAGAAUAUUACACAAUUGUGGGGUCAUGCGAUAUAUAUCAAAUGAGAAUUGUAGUGUAAAUUCUUAGCAAACAUAUACAUCGACAACAAGGAUGUUUUACCUUUGUCUAAUUACUUUUUUUUCUAAUUAAUUAUGAACGACGCCAUCCAAGGAGGAAAAAAAUAAUCAUUAAAAUAAACAUUUAAGGAGAAACGGUAAAUAUACUUAAUUUGGAGAAACAUUUGUACAUCCGAAUGAACUGUCAUUGUGUACGGUGAAGGCUGCACACUGCUCCACCCACAAGAGCUCGAGCUUGCAGAGGUGUUAUCAGCUAACAUUCUGAAAGCAUUUUGAAUGGUGCACGAUUAUCGCUUAUGGACGCAAUUAGAUGAAGCGCAAAUUGUGAUACGAUUUCUUACUCUCCGAACUAAGCAAUCCAUUUUAUUUUAUGUUAGCGCUUACAGCGCACGCCAAUUUGUAGUCACUUGGAAUUUACGUGGUACAAUUCGCAUGCUGAAUUCAACUUGAAAUAGCAUGGAAAUUAAUUCGGCUAUUCAGUGGUUAAUGAGCCCAUUUUUAGUUGUGACCGUAUAUUUCUUGUUGUCCCAUCUUAAGCUAAUAUUUUGUUGCAAAUGGAAAUGUACAAGCACCAUAAAAUCACUUGGUCUCUUCAUACUUCGUAUCAUAAAUUUAAAACAAUUUGCCCGAAACAAUCUUUGCAAUUAUUUAAUGAUAAUGACGAUGACUUUUUGUAUCAAUCGGAACGUUCCCUUUGUCAAGUGUGCUUAAGACGUAGCGCGAACUCAACUGACGGGGCAAGAUGAAAACAAUUGGUAAAAUGGGGAAAAAAGCGGAUGAUGGAACAAAAAUGCUCAAGGAAUAAAAUGAUUGAAUGAGGUCUGCGCCAUCCAAUUUUUUGUGUGUUGUAUGUCUAGAAGCACUUCUUCUUCGGUGUUUGCUUCCAUCUUUGUCCGUUUUGUUUCCCUUUUUUAAAUUCUUUUUGAGUAUAAGAUUUUUCUUUUAUUUUCUCAUAUUAUUAUUAUUAUCAUUACAGACAAAAUGAUGACUAUUUAGCAUUUUAUAUCUAAGAAAAUAUGACAAUAUGAAUCGUAUGCAAUCGAAAAUGAAGACCGAGCAAAAAAUAUUAAUGAUACUCAUUCCGAAAUGAUGGAAAGUUAUUUCAAGAAAAUGGUGAAUAGAAUCAUUCUCAUUAAAUCGAGGUAGUCGAUUAUAGUGGCGCAGUGCUGAUGCUGGGUCUAUGGAUUCUUUCUCCGUUCGAUGUAUGAUGAUGUGUUGGAGUACAUUUUUUUCUUCCUUUUUUUCCAGCCGGAUCAAACAAGCAACACAAAGCAUUGAGAAGAGAAGAUAAAUGACCCUUCCAUGAAGCGAUAUGAAAGUAAAUCUGCGAUACCAUGCUACGACAUGAUAAUGAAGACAAAACAAACAUGCGAAGCGAAUAAAAGGAGCAAAAAAUAAAUUAUUAUUGAUAUUGCGAUGAAUAAUAAUGAGAAUUUUUCAUAUAAUAUCUAUUCAUGGACAGAAAAUGAAGAUGCAGCGAAAAAAAGUUCUGUAAAAUGGGGCAAUUUAUUAGUCCAGUUCUUUUCCGUUUCAUUUCGAUUCAGCUAAAUCGCAAGAUUUCUCCUCAUUACUUUAGCUUAAUACACCUACAGAUAGAUUUUUUUUUGUUACCGAUUAAUUGAUGAUGCUAUUUACUGAGACAUAUUUACAAAGAGCAUUUUUCUUGAAACAAUGUGGAAAUACUAGAUGAGUCCGAUUGAAUAUAGUAGCAUCAAUAUUUAUUUUCAGAGAUGGAAAGGUCUUAAUUCAACCGGGGAAGUGUACUUUGAAUCUGUUUUAUCAGAUCAAACAUUUGAGUUUGCUGUGGGCAUUUUUGGCAUUGUAACUUUGCAUUGUAUUACAUUUAUAAUACAAAAAUUGUUCAGUUUAGUGAAUUUGAAAUAUUGUUUGAAUGCAUUAAUAUGAAAGCCACCGCGAGGAUCUUCAUCGAUGAAAUUGUUGUUGAACAAAUUGAAUAAAAUAUCGUUUAUUCAUUAAUAUUGCAUGUAUUUAGAUGUGGGAAACUGCGACCAAAACCUAAAGCAGGUUUAGGAAACGCAGCAGAAAAUCCAAAUCAACAAUUGAACAAUCAGUUGCUGUCUAAGGUUAAAGUAUACGGGAAAAACUGGCGAUCAAUCAUUGAAUCAAACGUUGAAACAGAGAAUGCUGCUGCACAAAAAGAAGAUGAAGCCACAUACGUCGAAGAUCUAACCCAUCUUUCUUUCGAAGAGGCGGAGGCCCAUUUAUAACAGAGCAACGCGUCAAAUCAGCGUCCAACAGGACUAAAAACAGUUUGGCAUCGUGAUACAGUGGCUGCAAAAUGCAUCUUAUACAAAGUAUUUUUGACCUGUUCAAUGGAUACACUCCCGACAUAUUUCUACUGGAUCGUUAGCUUCAAAUACACUUCGAUGGGUUCAAUACAUACGUGGCUGUGACGCAGUAGAAUGCAGCAGCAUUUUAGUUUUAAUUUUGAUUUUUCGAUUUUAAUAAUAAUUCAUGUAACGUUAAGUUAUUCUGCUGGGAGCUGAUUUUGUGCCCAUGCCAAAGUACCUACCGCUGUGUCGGCUAGUAAGUCAAUAAAAUGCGGAUUGGAAUCUGUUCUGUGCAAAAUCGUUGUAAUAUUGUGUAAAAAUGUGGAGUUCAACGAGUGAAAGUGUUAUGAAUAAAUUUUGUGGAGAAAGGUGAUUUAGAAAAUUUCUCCAUGAAAAAUGCGUUAUAAAAACUUUGCAGCAACAACGACGUUUAAGAACAGAGGGAAACGUGAUAAAUAAAAAUUGAUCGCAUGCAAUACUUAUCUCA